RNAcentral lists this ribosomal RNA (443 nucleotides) under uncultured bacterium. Its description in RNAcentral is "partial 16S ribosomal RNA". It matches the Rfam family "Bacterial small subunit ribosomal RNA", at positions 338 to 795 of the family's 1533-position model. The record is from RNAcentral.
CCUACGGGCGGCAGCAGUGGGGAAUAUUGCGCAAUGGGGGCAACCCUGACGCAGCAACGCCGCGUGAUUGAAGAAGGCCUUCGGGUUGUAAAGAUCUUUAUUUGGGGACGAAAACAAUGACGGUACCCAAAUAAUAAGCUUCGGCUAACUACGCGCCAGCAGCCGCGGGAAGACGUAGGGAGCAAGCGGUAUCCGGAUUUACUGGGUGUAAGGGGCGAGUAGGCGGGCUGGCAAGUUAGGAGUGAAAUCCCGGGGCUUAACCCCGGAACUGCUUUUAAAACUGUUGGUCUUGAGUGAUGGAGAGGCAGGCGGAAUUCGGGGUGUAGCGGUGAAAUGCGUAGAUAUACGGAGGAACACCGAUGGCGAAGGCGGCCUGCUGGACAUUAACUGACGCUGAGGCGCGAAAGCGUGGGGAGCAAACAGGAUUAGAUACCCGAGUAGUC